RNAcentral lists this ribosomal RNA (600 nucleotides) under uncultured marine bacterium. Its description in RNAcentral is "bacterial SSU rRNA". It matches the Rfam family "Bacterial small subunit ribosomal RNA", at positions 8 to 606 of the family's 1533-position model. The record is from RNAcentral.
AGAGUAUGAUCCUGGCUCAGGAUGAACGCUAGCGGCAGGCCUAAUACAUGCAAGUCGAACGGUAGGUUUUUCUUCGGAGAAACUGAGAGUGGCGCACGGGUGCGUAACGCGUAUGCAACCUACCCUUAACAGGGGGAUAGCCCAGAGAAAUUUGGAUUAAUACCCCAUAGUAUUAUUAGAAGGCAUCUGAAAAUAAUUAAAGAUUUAUCGGUUAAGGAUGGGCAUGCGUGACAUUAGAUAGUUGGUGAGGUAACGGCUCACCAAGUCUACGAUGUCUAGGGGUUCUGAGAGGAUGAUCCCCCACACUGGUACUGAGAUACGGACCAGACUCCUACGGGAGGCAGCAGUAGGGAAUAUUGGUCAAUGGGCGAGAGCCUGAACCAGCCAUGCCGCGUGCAGGAAGACGGCUUUCUGAGUUGUAAACUGCUUUUGUACGGGAAGAAAAAGUCCUUGCGAGGAAAAUUGCCGGUACCGUACGAAUAAGCACCGGCUAACUCCGUGCCAGCAGCCGCGGUAAUACGGAGGGUGCAAGCGUUGUCCGGAUUUAUUGGGUUUAAAGGGUGCGUAGGCGGAUCUUUAAGUCAGUGGUGAAAUCCUGCA